RNAcentral lists this ribosomal RNA (250 nucleotides) under Plectosphaerella cucumerina. RNAcentral describes it as "partial large subunit ribosomal RNA". The record is from RNAcentral. Lineage: Eukaryota; Fungi; Ascomycota; Sordariomycetes; Glomerellales; Plectosphaerellaceae.
CGUGAAAUUGUUGAAAGGGAAGCACUCGCUACCAGACUUGGGUUUGGCGGUUCAACCGGGGCCACGCCCCGGGGCAUUCCGCCAGCUCAGGCCAGCAUCAGCUUUCCGUCGGGGGCAAAGACGUCGGGAAUGUGGCUCCCCCUCGGGGGAGUGUUAUAGCCCGGCGUGUCAUACCCUUCGGGGGGCUGAGGUACGCGCUUCUGCAAGGAUGCUGGCGUAAUGGUAGCUAGUGACCCGUCUUGAAACACGG